CGAGACGGCGUCGCGCUCGCCGUCGCUGGGCGUGGUCCUGCCCUCCCCCGCCUCGCCCUCGGGCAGCACGCUGCGGCUCCAGUGGUCCACUAUCUGCUGCAGGCCGCUGACGUGCUGGAUGACGUCGUCCAGGUGGGGGAACAGGCCGUCCUCCGUCCCCAGGUCCAGCAGGUCGCCGGUGCUGGCGUAGAGGUGGGAGCCGGGCACGUUGUCGUACACGCUCACCCGGCUGCCCCGGGGGGCCGCGGGGCAGCCGGGCUUGGACAGGGGCCUGGCGGACCAGGGCCGGCUCGGGUCGGCGCCGGGCGGCGGCGUGUGGGUGCGAGCGCCGGGGGACGGCACCAGGCUCUCUAUGGACAGCGCUUUGGGGAAGGUGCCGGGUUUGUGGUCCUUGGGGACGUGAAUGAGGAGGUUCUCGUACGAGUGGAACUGGCUCCGGCCGAACGGACAGUGCCCGUCCGUCCUCUUCCCCUGAGAGGGCAGCUCCAUGUCCUCCAGGUACACGCUGCCCCUCUUGCUGGCAGUGCGGGGCCGGGCCGAGGUGGGCCCCGGCCCGGCGGGCCCAGCGGGCCCGGCGGGCCCAGCGGGCCCGGCCGCCUCGGCGCCGGGGCUCACGCUCAUCAUGGACAGGUCUGGACAGUCGUUGCUCAGAGGGGACCCGGCGCCGUCCGCCCGCUGCUCCGCGCUGGGCUCCAGGUGGCUGAUGGGAGUGCACUGCAGCGUCUGCAGGGCCCGCGGCUCCUCCCCCUGCAGCACCGGCCCGCUGAUGACCAGCGGCGGCCUGCGUCCGGGGCCCUUGCGCCUCGUCGACGGCCCCCACGUGCGCACGACCUCCAUCCGCCGCAGGAACUCCUUGGCCUUGCUCCUCCCCGCGUGGCCGUGGCGCCCGCCCUUGAUUGGCAGGGAGUUGUAGUGGGGCAGGUCCGGCGGCUGGUAGGCGGCGCAGAGCGACGCCAUGGAGACGGAGUCGGGCAUGGCGGCCGCCGAGUCCUCGCUGUGCAGCGAGGAGGCGUCGGCGGCCUCCUGCUCGCUCAGGUCGGUCAGCGCGCUCUCGCUGCUCGCCGCGCUGCGCGGGCCCCCGGCCCGGCCCGUCGGGCUGCUGGCGCCGUCCGACAGGAAGUCCUGCAGGCGGGACCAGCGGCGGCUGCUCCACUCGAACGUCCAGCGCUUGCUGAUGGCCAGCUGGUCGUCCUCGUCAGAGUCGUCGCCCUGCGCGGAUGCAGCGGAUGUGAGUGGAUCAGACAAGGUUCCGCUCAGUCGGGUCCACGCUGCACAGUGACUGAUCCACACUGA
Molecule: long non-coding RNA, 1293 nt
Filed under: Betta splendens (Siamese fighting fish)
Lineage: Eukaryota; Metazoa; Chordata; Actinopteri; Anabantiformes; Osphronemidae
Description: lncRNA (ENSBSLG00000012277.1)
Source: RNAcentral